GAUGAACGCUGGCGGCGUGCCUAAUACAUGCAAGUCGAGCGAACAGACGAGGAGCUUGCUUCUCUGACGUUAGCGGCGGACGGGUGAGUAACACGUGGAUAACCUACCUAUAAGACUGGGAUAACUUCGGGAAACCGGAGCUAAUACCGGAUAAUAUAUUGAACCGCAUGGUUCAAUAGUGAAAGACGGUUUUGCUGUCACUGAUAGAUGGAUCCGCGCCGCAUUAGCUAGUUGGUAAGGUAACGGCUUACCAAGGCGACGAUGCGUAGCCGACCUGAGAGGGUGACCGGCCACACUGGAACUGAGACACGGUCCAGACUCCUACGGGAGGCAGCAGUAGGGAAUCUUCCGCAAUGGGCGAAAGCCUGACGGAGCAACGCCGCGUGAGUGAUGAAGGUCUUCGGAUCGUAAAACUCUGUUAUUAGGGAAGAACAAAUGUGUAAGUAACUAUGCACGUCUUGACGGUACCUAAUCAGAAAGCCACGGCUAACUACGUG
This 497-nucleotide ribosomal RNA is filed under the name uncultured bacterium. Its description in RNAcentral is "partial 16S ribosomal RNA". It matches the Rfam family "Bacterial small subunit ribosomal RNA", at positions 28 to 507 of the family's 1533-position model. The record is from RNAcentral.